AACGAACGCUGGCGGCGUGCUUAACACAUGCAAGUCGAACGCGAAAGGGACUUCGGUCCUGAGUAAAGUGGCGCACGGGUGAGUAACGCGUAGAUAACCUGUCUUCAUGUCUGGAAUAAUACGCCGAAAGGGGUACUAAUACCGGAUAUUCUUGCUUUUCAUAAGUUAUGCAAGCAAAGGUGGCCUCUGCAUAUGCUACUGCAUGAAGGAGGGGUCUGCGUACCAUUAGCUAGUAGGUGGGGUAAUGGCCUACCUAGGCGACGAUGGUUAGCGGGUCUGAGAGGAUGAUCCGCCACACUGGCACUGGAACACGGGCCAGACUCCUACGGGAGGCAGCAGUGAGGAAUAUUGCGCAUGGGGGAAACCCUGACGCAGCGACGCCGCGUGAGUGAAGGAAGGCCUUCGGGUCGUAAAGCUCUGUCAAGAGGAAAGAAGUGUACAAUGGCUAAUACCUGUUGUAUUUGACGGUACCUCUAAAGGAAGCACCGGCUAACUCCGUGCCAGCAGCCGC
This 511-nucleotide ribosomal RNA is filed under the name uncultured bacterium. RNAcentral's name for it is "bacterial SSU rRNA". It matches the Rfam family "Bacterial small subunit ribosomal RNA", at positions 29 to 518 of the family's 1533-position model. The record is from RNAcentral.